This 253-nucleotide ribosomal RNA is filed under the name uncultured bacterium. RNAcentral describes it as "partial 16S ribosomal RNA". It matches the Rfam family "Bacterial small subunit ribosomal RNA", at positions 524 to 776 of the family's 1533-position model. The record is from RNAcentral.
UACGGGGGGGGCAAGCGUUGUUCGGAAUUACUGGGCGUAAAGGGCUCGUAGGCGGCCAACUAAGUCAGACGUGAAAUCCCCAGGCUUAACCUGGGAACUGCGUCUGAUACUGGAUGGCUUGAAUUCGGGAGAGGGAUGCAGAAUUCCAGGUGUAGCGGUGAAAUGCGUAGAUAUCUGGAGGAAUACCGGUGGCGAAGGCGGCAUCCUGGACCGACAUUGACGCUGAUGAGCGAAAGCGUGGGGAGCGAACAGG